This is a long non-coding RNA of Capra hircus (goat), 2180 nucleotides long. The record is from Ensembl. Lineage: Eukaryota; Metazoa; Chordata; Mammalia; Artiodactyla; Bovidae.
UCGGGUGCCCGGCUCUGGCGGGGCGGGAGGGGCUGGGCGGGUCUUGCGCCAGGGACGCCCACCCGUCCGCCCGCCGGGGCUGGGCGAGGCGUUGCGAUCUGGCACUGCUAGCGGGCAGAGGCGGUGAGCGGGGGGAGGACGGCUGCGGCUCCGGCCGGUCCCCUCGCUUGUAGGCACUCGCCUCCCGGGACAGCCACCGCAGGCCUCUCGCUGCCCUCUGAGGGGAAGGGAGGAACCAAAUAGGUGGCAGAGAGACGCAGUGUGCUCUUCCGCCGCCCAAUCCCGCUGACGGUGCGCGGACCCUCCGCGCUCUUGUUCCCUUCCGCAGUCCGCGCCCUGAGCCGGGCGCCAGGGAGCUGUCCAUCCCAUUGGUUCUGAAUCAGGCGCUACGGAAACGCUCCAGAAUCUUGCUUCAGACCCCAUGGGGGAUGUUCCUCACAACUGCAGGUGGAGGAAGCAAGGGUUGUGUUAAUUAUUCCUCAGACAAUGUGUCCUUCAAGAAACUAGAAGAAGUUAGGCUUCCAAAAAUGAGACAGACAUUAGAAGAGCCCAUUUACAAGCAGCAGCAGGAGCAGGAGAAACAGCGAUGCAGAGGAGGUGAUUCACAACUUCCUCUGUGAUGAAAAAGGAAACAUGCAGGUCUGAGGUGUCCCCAGGGCCACUAGCUGGCUGUCAAGGCCACUGCUAAUCUGGAAUGGUGCCUCAAUCUUGAACAUUUGAAAUUGCUUCUACUCCAUUGUUAUUUUUGGUAGAGUUGUUUCUUAAAGAAAAUUGCUCCCUGAUCUUGUCUCUCCCUUGCUCUCAGACUAUGUGCAUGUUUUUAACACAUUUGGUCAUGAUAGUCUACUUUUCCUAAUCAUAUUGUUACUGUACUGUGAAAAAUGGAAAAUUUGAAUAUGUAGGUUGUAUGAUCUUACAAUGUAAAUUACUGAGACUUGCAAGGCAACAGUUUAUCAAUCCUUGAAGAUAUUUUUAUUUGAUAUCUUCUUAUGGAAUUCUUGUCUGCAAAUCUUAAGCUGAAAAUUCACUAGAAAUCUGUUUAGAAAUGAAUUACAAAUCACAAGGCUUAUUUUUUUUUUGAAUGUGCACUAAGAAUUGCUAUCAAAUUGUCCAUAAAGUCUGUGUACUGAUUCUCAAAACAACUGAUAAAAUCUUGAUUGUGAAAUGAAAAAAAAAUAAAAAAAGGAUCUGAACAGGUAUCUCAUGGAAGAAGACAUACACAUGGCACAUAAACUCAUGAAAUGAUUCUCAACACCAUUUGUCACUAGGGUACUGCAAAAUAAAAAAUGAUGAGAUACUACUUCACACCUAUUACAAGGACUAAAAAUCUGGAAAAUUGACAACACUGGCAAGGCUGCAGAGAAACUUUCAUCCAUUGCGGAUGGGAAGACAAAAUGGUACAACUUUUAGAUGACAGCUUCAUAGUUUCCUAUAAAACUAAACAUAAUUUUACCAUAUAAUUUAGCAAUCUCACGCCCAACUGUGCUGAAAUUUUAUGUCAUGCAAAAACCUGUACCUGAAUGUUUAUAGCAUCUGUAUCCAUAAUUGUUAAAAACUAGAAGCAACCAAGAUAUCUUUUAAGACAAAUGUAUGAAUAAACUGUUACACCCUAAAAUGGAAUAUUAUUCAAAGAUAAAAAGAAAUGAGUUAUCAAGCCCAUGAGAAGACAGAGGAGACAAAUUCAUAUCACUAACUGAAAGAAGUCAAUCUGAAAACCUAGGUACUGCAUGAUUCCAACUAUAGGACAUCUGAAAAAGACAAAGCUGUGGAGAUAGUAAAAAGGUUGUCAGGGGUACAGGGUAGGAAUCAUAGCAAAUGCCCCACACUAAAGUCAGAGGUUAGUACUAGGGGCACCUGUGGAGUUCUCUUUCAUAUACUGUAAGCAAUUUAGUGGAUGUCAGUGUGAAUGACUGUUGGCUGUAGACAUGAGAAGGAUUUUUUUUUCCCAAUGGGAGUAUAAUUGAUUUCCUUUUCACCACAAAAGAAGCCAAUUUUGCAUCUAUGAAACAAAUUCAUGUUGAUACUCUAUAUGUUGCCUCUCUAUAUAUCUGCUCUCAGAUUUUUUUCUUGAAAUCAGCUGAAACCAAUUUAUGUCUCUCAGGUAGUAAGCAAAAUUAGCUCUCUGAUAUUUGUUCACUUUAUAUUAAUAUGAAGUCAUGAUUUAAUAUUUUAAAAUGAAC